This 446-nucleotide ribosomal RNA is filed under the name uncultured bacterium. RNAcentral describes it as "SSU rRNA". It matches the Rfam family "Bacterial small subunit ribosomal RNA", at positions 26 to 518 of the family's 1533-position model. The record is from RNAcentral.
AGAGCGAACGCUGGCGGCAGGCUUAACACAUGCAAGUCGAGCGGGCGUAGCAAUACGUCAGCGGCAGACGGGUGAGUAACGCGUGGGAACAUACCUUUUGGUUCGGAACAACCCAGGGAAACUUGGGCUAAUACCGGAUAAGCCCUUACGGGGAAAGAUUUAUCGCCGAAAGAUCGGCCCGCGUCUGAUUAGCUAGUUGGUGGGGUAAUGGCCCACCAAGGCGACGAUCAGUAGCUGGUCUGAGAGGAUGAUCAGCCACAUUGGGACUGAGACACGGCCCAAACUCCUACGGGAGGCAGCAGUGGGGAAUAUUGGACAAUGGGCGCAAGCCUGAUCCAGCCAUGCCGCGUGAGUGAUGAAGGCCCUAGGGUUGUAAAGCUCUUUUGUGCGGGAGAUAAUGACGGUACCGCAAGAAUAAGCCCGGCUAACUUCGCGCCAGCAGCCGC